GGUCUAUGGAGUGGAAUACUUUUGGAGAAACAUUCCACUAUUUCUUCUACGUCUUGAAAAAGGGACAAAGAUCAUCAGAGAGCGAGGAGUGCAGGGAGAAAACUCAUAUGCCAUCAAUAUCUCUAUACCAUGACGAAUUAGAGGGUGAAGACUUUUUAUUCAGAACCAACAUUGAUGAGAUGGAAAGCUAGAAAUGAAAUGUAAAUUGCGACUCUCUACCCAUUGCUUUAUGUCUUCUAUUUUAGGACUGAGG
RNAcentral lists this unclassified non-coding RNA (253 nucleotides) under Hevea brasiliensis (rubber tree). Lineage: Eukaryota; Viridiplantae; Streptophyta; Magnoliopsida; Malpighiales; Euphorbiaceae. The record is from RNAcentral.